RNAcentral lists this unclassified non-coding RNA (369 nucleotides) under fungal sp. Its description in RNAcentral is "partial internal transcribed spacer region". The stretch from base 1 to 46 matches the Rfam family "Eukaryotic small subunit ribosomal RNA", at positions 1786 to 1831 of the family's 1831-position model. The record is from RNAcentral. RNAcentral also lists the same sequence under 1 other name. Lineage: Eukaryota; Fungi.
AAGUCGUAACAAGGUAUCCGUAGGUGAACCUGCGGAUGGAUCAUUAAAACACGUGUUUUACACACGUUACCAACCAACCCGCGCGAGGAGUCUUGCUGACACUAAAAAAUCAGAGUCUUCACCGAUUCUGGCUUCAUCGUGUACAGCCGCCCUUAAAAAAGGCGGUCCGUCGGCUUGUGCUCCGUUUUUUACUCUUCUUUGCACACGGUGUUUCUUUUUACAAACCAUUAAACCCCUUUCAUUUUAUAAAAAUGACUUAACCUUUUUCAAUUCGAAAAGGACUUCACUACUAGGCUUUCGGGCCGAACGGAAGUUUCUGACUAGAUAUGAAAUCCUGUACAACUCUUAGCAACGGAUAUCUUGGUUCUC